GAUGAACGCUGGCGGCGUGCCUAACACAUGCAAGUCGAGCGAUCUUCUUCGGAAGAGAGCGGCGGACGGGUGAGUAACGCGUGGGUAACCUGCCCUGUACACACGGAUAACAUACCGAAAGGUAUGCUAAUACGGGAUGAUAUAUGAAAGUCGCAUGGCUUUUAUAUCAAAGCUCCGGCUGUACAGGAUGGACCCGCGUCUGAUUAGCUAGUUGGUAAGGUAACGGCUUACCAAGGCGACGAUCAGUAGCCGACCUGAGAGGGUGAUCGGCCACACUGGAACUGAGACACGGUCCAGACUCCUACGGGAGGCAGCAGUGGGGAAUAUUGCACAAUGGGCGAAAGCCUGAUGCAGCAACGCCGCGUGAGCGAUGAAGGCCUUCGGGUCGUAAAGCUCUGUCCUCAAGGAAGAUAAUGACGGUACUUGAGGAGGAAGCCCCGGCUAACUACGUGCCAGCAGCCGCGGUAAUACGUAGGGGGCUAGCGUUAUCCGGAAUUACUGGGCGUAAAGGGUGCGUAGGCGGUCUUUCAAGCCAGAAGUGAAAGGCUACGGCUCAACCGUAGUAAGCUUUUGGAACUGUAGGACUUGAGUGCAGGAGAGGAGAGUAGAAUUCCUAGUGUAGCGGUGAAAUGCGUAGAUAUUAGGAGGAAUACCAGUAGCGAAGGCGGCUCUCUGGACUGUAACUGACGCUGAGGCACGAAAGCGUGGGGAGCAAACAGG
RNAcentral lists this ribosomal RNA (720 nucleotides) under uncultured bacterium. RNAcentral describes it as "bacterial SSU rRNA". It matches the Rfam family "Bacterial small subunit ribosomal RNA", at positions 28 to 776 of the family's 1533-position model. The record is from RNAcentral.